GUGCUGGCUUCGGCAGCACAUAUUCUAAGGUUGGAACAGUACAGAGAAGAUGAUCGUGGCCCCUGUGCAAAAAUGACAUGCAAAUUUCUGAAACAUUUCAUAUUUUU
Small nuclear RNA from Camelus dromedarius (Arabian camel), 107 nucleotides. The record is from Ensembl. NCBI's taxonomy places the organism in Eukaryota, Metazoa, Chordata, Mammalia, Artiodactyla, Camelidae.